Molecule: ribosomal RNA, 2489 nt
Filed under: Hominifimenecus microfluidus
Lineage: Bacteria; Bacillati; Bacillota; Clostridia; Lachnospirales; Lachnospiraceae
Description: partial 23S ribosomal RNA
Rfam family: Bacterial large subunit ribosomal RNA
Source: RNAcentral
AUCCGGAGUACUGCGAGACACGAGAAACCUUGCAGGAAGUCGGGGGGACCACCCCCCAAGGCUAAAUACUACUCAGUGACCGAUAGCGCAUAGUACUGUGAAGGAAAGGUGAAAAGGACCCCGGGAGGGGAGUGAAAGAGAACCUGAAACCUUGUGUUUACAAACUGUGGAACAUCCAUACGAGAUGAACCGCGUACUUUUUGUAGAACGGUCCGGCGAGUUAUUUUUACUGGCAAGGUUAAGUUCCUAAGGAACGGAGCCGAAGGGAAACCAAGUCUUAAGAGGGCGUUAAGUCAGUGGAAAUAGACCCGAAACCGGGUGAUCUAUCCAUGUCCAGGCUGAAGCGGGAGUAAAAUCCCGUGGAGGGCCGAACUCACAUCCGUUGAAAAGGGUGGGGAUGAGGUGUGGAUAGGGGAGAAAUUCCAAUCGAACCCGGAGAUAGCUGGUUCUCCUCGAAAUAGCUUUAGGGCUAGCCUCAUAUUAGUCUUGCGGAGGUAGAGCACUGAAUUUCCUAGGGGGCGUCAAAGCUUACCGAAGAAUAUCAAACUCCGAAUGCCGUGAAGAUGAUGUAUGGGAGUCAGACUGUACGAGAUAAGUUGGACAGUCAAAAGGGAAAGAGCCCAGACCAUCGGUUAAGGUCCCAAAGUGCGUGUUAAGUGGAAAAGGAUGUGGGAUUUCGAAGACAGCUAGGAUGUUGGCUCAGAAGCAGCCAUUCAUUCAAAGAGUGCGUAAUAGCUCACUAGUCGAGAGGUCCUGCGCCGAAAAUGUCCGGGGCUAAAACACGACACCGAAGCCAUGGAAUGUAUAACAUUGGUAGAGGAGCAUUCUUAUCGCGGCGAAGCAGUACCGGAAGGAGCUGUGGAGUGAUAAGAAGAGAGAAUGCCGGAAUGAGUAGCGAGAGGAAGGUGAGAAUCCUUCCGGCCGAAUAUCCAAGGUUUCCAGAGUAAAGCUGAUCUGCUCUGGGGAAGUCGGGACCUAAGGCGAGGCCGAGAGGCGUAGUCGAUGGACAACAGGUUGAAAUUCCUGUACUGUCAUGUAACAGAACUGUGGGGACGCAGGGAGGAAAGAAGAGCCGGGAAUGAAGAGACCGGUGCAAGCGAGGUAGGAGUCUGAAAGGCAAAACCGUCAGACAAUCCGAAGACGUGAUGCGCAGCGAACUGAAGUAGCGAAGCUUCGGCCCCUAACUGCCAAGAAAAGCCGCUAUUGUUUGCAUGACACCCGUACCGUAAACCGACACAGGUGGAUGAGGAGAGAAUCCUAAGGCCGACGGGAGAAGCAUUGUUAAGGAACUCGGCAAAAUGACCCCGUAACUUCGGGAGAAGGGGUGCCUCGAAAGAGGCCGCAGAGAAUUGGCCCAAGCAACUGUUUAGCAAAAACACAGGUCUAUGCAAAACCGAAAGGUGAGGUAUAUGGGCUGACGCCUGCCCGGUGCUGGAAGGUUAAGAGGAGAGCUUAGCGCAAGCGAAGGUUUGAAUUUAAGCCCCAGUAAACGGCGGCCGUAACUAUAACGGUCCUAAGGUAGCGAAAUUCCUUGUCGGGUAAGUUCCGACCCGCACGAAAGGCGUAAUGAUUUGGGCGCUGUCUCGACAAUGCACCCGGUGAAAUUGAAGUACCAGUGAAGAUGCUGGUUACCCGCGCCAGGACGGAAAGACCCCAUGGAGCUUUACUCUAGCUUGAUACUGGGAUUCGGUAUUGUCUGUACAGGAUAGGUGGGAGGCUAUGAACCGUGGACGCCAGUCUGCGGGGAGCCGCUGUUGGGAUACCACCCUUACAAUACUGGAUUUCUAACCUGCCGCCAUGACCUGGCGGAGGGACAAUGUCUGGUGGGGAGUUUGACUGGGGCGGUCGCCUCCGAAAGAGUAUCGGAGGCGCUCAAAGGUCCUCUCAGGAUGGACGGAAACCAUCCGAAGAGUGCAAAGGCAUAAGAGGGCUUGACUGUGACACCGACGGGUGGAGCAGGUACGAAAGUAGGACUUAGUGAUCCGGUGGUAGAAAGUGGGAUUGCCAUCGCUCAACGGAUAAAAGCUACCCUGGGGAUAACAGGCUUAUCACUCCCAAGAGUUCACAUCGACGGAGUGGUUUGGCACCUCGAUGUCGGCUCAUCGCAUCCUGGGGCUGUAGCAGGUCCCAAGGGUUGGGCUGUUCGCCCAUUAAAGCGGUACGCGAGCUGGGUUCAGAACGUCGUGAGACAGUUCGGUCCCUAUCCGGCGCGGGCGUAGGAUAUUUGAGAGGAGCUGUCCUUAGUACGAGAGGACCGGGAUGGACGAACCGCUGGUGGAUCGGUUGCAUUAUCAAGUGCAUGGCCGAGUAGCCAAGUUCGGAAGGGAUAAACGCUGAAGGCAUCUAAGCGUGAAGCCCCCCUCAAGAUGAGAUAUCCCAUUCUUUAAAAGAAGUAAGACCCCUUGAAGACCACGAGGUAGAUAGGGCAGAGGUGGAAGUACGGUAACGUAUGGAGCUGACUGUCACUAAUCGGUCGAGGGCUUGACCUC